GAUGAAGAACGUAGCGAAAUGCGAUAAGUAAUGUGAAUUGCAGAAUUCAGUGAAUCAUCGAAUCUUUGAACGCACAUUGCGCCCGCCAGUAUUCUGGCGGGCAUGCCUGUCUGAGCGUCAUUUCAACCCUCAUGCCCCUAGGGCGUGGUGUUGGGGAUCGGCCAAAGCCCGCGAGGGACGGCCGGCCCCUAAAUCUAGUGGCGGACCCGUCGUGGCCUCCUCUGCGAAGUAGUGAUAUUCCGCAUCGGAGAGCGAUGAGCCCCUGCCGUUAAACCCCCAACUUUCCAAGGUUGACCUCAGAUCAGGUAGGAAUACCCGCUGAACUUAAGCAUAUCUAUAAGCGGAGGA
This 348-nucleotide unclassified non-coding RNA is filed under the name soil metagenome. RNAcentral's name for it is "partial contains 5.8S ribosomal RNA, internal transcribed spacer 2, and large subunit ribosomal RNA". The stretch from base 1 to 120 matches the Rfam family "5.8S ribosomal RNA", at positions 35 to 154 of the family's 154-position model. The record is from RNAcentral.